CGCCGGGUGGCCCAACUGGCAGAGGCACUCGAUUUAAGCUCGAGUAGUUGAGGGUUCAAAUCCCUCCCCGGCGA
This 74-nucleotide transfer RNA is filed under the name Phycisphaerae bacterium. Its description in RNAcentral is "tRNA-Leu". It matches the Rfam family "tRNA". Rfam says of the family: Transfer RNA (tRNA) molecules are approximately 80 nucleotides in length. Lineage: Bacteria; Pseudomonadati; Planctomycetota; Phycisphaerae. The record is from RNAcentral.